Molecule: long non-coding RNA, 2840 nt
Filed under: Phoenix dactylifera (date palm)
Lineage: Eukaryota; Viridiplantae; Streptophyta; Magnoliopsida; Arecales; Arecaceae
Description: long non-coding RNA (PDAC_LNC005327)
Source: RNAcentral
AAUCUUUCACUUGUUUAAACUGAAUCUGGGUAUAAAAAUGAACCAUGUCCCAGCUAUACAGAAAAAAUCAAGAGAAAGGACCUAACUAUAUGGUGUGAAAAUGGAAUAUCCUUGUUUCUAUUUGAAGGUUCCUAGGAACCAUAGGGUAAAAUAAGUGGGAUCUAUUUGGUAUUCUGGAGGUUGGAAUCUUUGAAUAAUGGGGAGUUAGAUAUUUUAGGGACAUGUACUCAAUUUUGAGAUUUUAGUACAUUACAGAAACUUUAACUUGUCAUGUCAUUUAGUCAAUGAAUUUUUGAAGUUGCCUCAUAAUUUACUAUGUGCCCUGCCAAUAUCAUCUCUCAGGUUGGCAAGGAGUUAAUUCUUUGCUUAAACUGCACCAGAAUGCAAGCUGAACUCUUUGUUUUGACACCCAUUAUCUAGGUUAAGCUCAGUUUUGCUUGACCAGUGGAUCAUAUGAGCACUCGACGUAGUUUAUAGUCAGCUCUCAAUGUGGGAUAUAUGAUAGUUUUACUGAAUGGACUUGUGAAGGUUAUCAUGAUGAUAUGACCAAUGUGUUGGAACAACAACCUAGUAAAGACUCAAUCUUAGGUUUCUUAGGUCACUUGAUUGCGUUACUUGUGUAAUAUUUUGUGAACCCACAGGUUGUUUGAUUAUUGGAAACAAUACACACUAUACAAUAUGUAAAAGGAUAGAAACUGUGAUUUGAUUCAGCAACAAUGCUUUGUAAGAUAGAAGGUAUACACAUACCUAGACUCCAAUUUUGCAGAAUAAUCUAUAUAUGGUGGUUGCCCAUGAAUGAUUGGGCAGGCAUGAUUGCAUGAUGAAAAAAUGCAAGGUGUAUAGCAUGUGCCUGGUUGCAUUUUUGUUUAUAUAACUGCAUUGUCCCAAUGAUGCUUGUUGUAUCUAGGGAGCAUGAUUAUGUUUAUUUAUGUUUUUUAAGAAAGUUUGGCUUCAUUACAUGCUCAAUCUUUAAUAUUCAUAUUUUCAGAAUCCAGAAAAUAUUUAAUCUAUAUCAACUUAUGCAUUUGUUUAAACUUUUUGAGAUGGAUAUAAUGUACUUGUGUUAAUUGGAAAGGUGCUAAAUAGAGACUAGGUGUAGGAAGAUGUUUGCACUUAAGGGGCAUGUUGAUAUGGUCAACAAGCUUAUUUUUGUUGUUCUUGAAGACAGCAGCAUUAAUUGCAAAGAAUUAGGCUUUUUAUGAUCAUUAAUUUGCAAAUUUAAUGACAUUAAUUGUCAUAUAUUAGUUUUGAGCAAUGUGAUCUAUACCUCAGUUUGCUAUUAGUAGCAACCUCAAAAAGGAAAAAAAUGUGUAGUAAGAGGGGAUAGGGGAGAGGAAUAUGAGAGAGAGAAAUAUGAAUUUAUUAACUUAAUUUUUGUCAUAGGACAACAAGUUGGCGCUACCAUAUGAUAUCCACCAACUAUGGCAAUGGUGUGAUUAAUUAUUUGAUUUUCUGUCUCCUUCAGAUUGUUGCAUAAAUAUCAAAUUUGCCCAACUUUGAGAGAAUUUUAAUCAUGUCUUAUCAAAACCUUGUCUCCAUUAGCAAGUUGUGUUACAGCUAUCACAAACAAAAGGAGCAGGGGACCCCUUGUUAGUGACCUUUAUUGAUAAUGGAUGUCUCACAUCUACAUUGAAUUUGGAUAAUUAGGUUUAUACAGUUUGCCAGCAGCUUUAGUUUUAUAAUGUCGCUUUCAUCAGAUCUUGCACUUGAAAUCCCAAUAACAUAAAAGAAUAUUCAACCAAAGUAGUUCACAUGCUCAAUGAUAUAUUUUUGAAAGAACACAUGCUCCAAAAUUUAUAUAUUUUAUUUUUAAAGAUAUAUUUUACAGAUACAUUUUACAUUUUUAUGUUUUUAUAAAUGCAUUUUAAAAUAAAUAAAAAAUUAUAUAUUUUAUUUAUAAUGCUCGCGAAUACUUAUUCUAUCAUCGCUAUAAUGAUUUUUUCAUGUCCUGGUAAACCCUCCACCUUUCACCCAAGCACUGUGAACUUCCUUGGCUACUCAUGUAUUGCAGAGGCACAACCUUGCAAAGCAGUUUUUCCUUAGUAGAAAAUAAAAAUUGGGGUUUCAUUUUGUGUAAAGACCUAGGGCCUCAUCCAAAAAGGUUAGUCGAAAGGUGUUACUUGGAUUCCUUGGCCCUAUAUGAGCAUCCAAAAUCUUUCCAGUGCAUAGCCGAUAUAGGACUAAACACAUACCCACACUAUUUGUAAUGACCGAGGGCCUCACCUAACAAGGCUAGCUAGAAGGUGUUAUUUUAAUUUUUGGCCAGUAUAAGUACCUAAGAUUUUCUUAGUGUAUAGCCAAUCUGGGACUAAAUACAUGCUUGCAGGGACUCUCACAUACUUUUCUUGUUUAAGCUCUAGAAUUCUUGCUAGGGUAAGAGUCUAAAUCCAAUCAAAUCCAAUUAUAAAUGCCACGAUCAGCUUGUGGUCAGCUAUAGAAGGGCCCAUGCUACAUUGUCUUGUAGUCCAUAUGGGCUAUAGAUCAGGUUUGCUCUAAUACUAUGGUAAUUAUAUUAUCCAAAAAGGCUAGUCUGAAGGUGGUAGUUGGGUUUCCUGGCUCUGUAUAAGCACAUGCCUGCACGAGCUCUCACAUUGUAGUUCUAUCGUUCCUCCUCUGCUAUUCUCUCCAGCCUCUACCUUACUUCAGCUUCUUCCUCUGUUCUUCUUUUCCUUUUCUGACCCUUUUAACGGUUGCAUGAGCAGCUUCUCAUGCUGUCUUGCAAUUUGCGUGGUGCUCGUAACUAGCAAAAUCCAACCAAUACAUUAAACCUAGAAACAAGAAUAAAUUUUACCUACAUCUUACUUGUUUCCUUGCCCUAAAUAGCUGUUUUCAUUCUAGGU